This 1331-nucleotide ribosomal RNA is filed under the name Barbatia decussata. RNAcentral's name for it is "16S ribosomal RNA". It matches the Rfam family "Bacterial large subunit ribosomal RNA", at positions 486 to 2773 of the family's 2925-position model. The record is from RNAcentral. Lineage: Eukaryota; Metazoa; Mollusca; Bivalvia; Arcoida; Arcidae.
UAAAAAAUGAGUUUGGUGAAUAUUAGAGAUUUGAAUUGAUAAAAUUUGUAGCUGGAGUACCAAAUAUGAAGUAUCGGUAGAAAGGUUAAUGUGUUAGAGUACUGUGAAGGAGGCGAAGAUUAUUUUUUUAUAGUAGGAGAUAAGUCUGUACCUUUUGCAUAAGGGUUGAAUAAGAGAUUUAUCACUAGAGGAGUGAAGGCCCGAAGCCGGGAGAGCUACCAAGUAACCAGGGCUGGCCUAUAGAGGUUAGAGUGGCAGAUCUAUCUUAAGAUUACUUGGUUGAAGUGACAUGUUAUUCGGGCUCGGCGAUAACUGGUUAGGUCGGAAAUAGAUUAAGUUUAGGGGGCUAAGAAUGAAGAAGCCUACUGAGUGCAUCGGGGCAAGCUUGGUGUAUGUUUAACGAGAGUGAGAGAAAAGAAAAGAAAGAUUAGUAGGUCUUAUAGUGGCUAUCUUAGGAAGAGUGGGGUUAAAGCACCUUUUUCUGAAUAAUAAAAUAAGUUGAUAUUGUAGAUCUUAAAGGGUACGGCUUAAUGUAGUUUAAUUGGAAGGCUACAUAGUAUAAUGUUUAGAUGAGUAGUAGUGAAUUUUGUUUAAUUGCUCAUACAAGUGAAUUGAUGGGCUUGAGAGUGGUUAGUUUUGUAUUUAGGCGUUGCUAAGGAAUUCGGCAAAAAUUUAUCCCAGCUGUUUAGCAAAAACAUAGCCUCCAGAAGGGAUUGGAGGUGAUACCUGCCCGGUGAAUAUGGUUUAAACGGCGGCCUUAGCGUGAGGGUCAUAAAGUAGCAUAUAAUAUUCUAAUUAAUUGUUAGGUGGAAUGAAUGGAAAGAUGAGGGUAGGACUGUCUCAGUUGCGGAAAGAUGAAAUUACCAUGGAAGUGAAAAGGCUUUCAUUUAAUAAAUAGACGAUAAGACCCCAUGAAAUUUUGAGAAUAAUAUUGCUUGUUGUUUUAGUAUUAUUGUUUUUUGGUUGGGGCAACUCUGGAGGAAAUGUCUCUGGGGAUAGUUAAAGAAAUACAGUUGUUGAACCGUUGUGGCGGUCAUCGGAAAAAAUUACUCUGGGGAUAACAGCGUAAUCUUCUCGGAAAGAUCAUAUUGGUGGGAAGGCUUGCGACCUCGAUGUUGAAUGUGGCGAUCCUUGGGCUGCAGAAGGUUCAGAGGGUUGGACUGUUCGUCCAUUAAAGGCCAACCUGAUUUGAGUUAAGAACGGCGUGAGCUAGUUCGGUUUCUAUCUUUUAUUAUAACUUUGGUUUGGCUUGUACGUAAGGACUGUUAAGCCGCACAUGGUGUUGUGAGAGGGGGUGGAUAAUGUGUAGUUUAAGCUUAGGAGUAGAGAUG